Molecule: long non-coding RNA, 722 nt
Organism: Pygocentrus nattereri (red-bellied piranha)
Lineage: Eukaryota; Metazoa; Chordata; Actinopteri; Characiformes; Serrasalmidae
Exons: 3
Source: RefSeq, a predicted model, not a curated record
CACAAAAAAGACAAGUAUUUCUGACAGAGGAGCCAGAGUGGCAAUGCUUGGUGUGGAGAAGCCAGCAAGACAGAAGCAGCUGGCAGCAUCUAGCUGGGCCCGAUAAAUUAGAGCUCAGCUUCAGUGUGGAAGUGCCACAGUGAGCAGCACAGUGUUGCACAGUGGAGGAGUAUGUGGGCCCUGAGCGAGCGUUGGAAGUUGAGAGACUGGUGUGCUGGCACUGCUGGAAGAAGGGACCCCACACCAGAUAAUGCCACAAACCUAAGCUAGCGGGGAAAAUUAAACCAGCUGAGAGGAAUGGUGGUGGCUGUGGAUCUUGGGUUGAGUGAAGCGUAAGCGGCAGGCAGCUCACCAUGCUUGACAUCAUGGGCUCGUCAAUGUUCCUGCUAUGACUAAAGCUUUCCCAAGCUUUCCUACAAUGCUAACCUACACCAAGAGAGGCACAUCAAAUGGCUGGAAGGCGACCAACAUCCUUUUCAGCUGAAACAACAGCAGUUCUUGGAGGGGAAGGUCUCUGUGUAAUUGGUGAUCGUGUUGACACCAGGCCAAAGAAAAGGAGAAUGAGCACUACAGACUGAAAGUAUGGAAGCAAACACGCCAGCGUCCUGAUUUACUCCUGGCCAAGUCUGGAGACAGCAGUUAAGACAGCCACCACGCCCGGACAAUGGACUCAGAUAUGACAGUAUUACUAAGUGACCUUUGCCCUCUCCUCCAUUAGGGCC